Molecule: ribosomal RNA, 466 nt
Filed under: uncultured bacterium
Lineage: Bacteria
Description: partial 16S ribosomal RNA
Rfam family: Bacterial small subunit ribosomal RNA
Source: RNAcentral
GAUGAACGCUGGCGGCGUGCUUAACACAUGCAAGUCGAACGGAAAGGCCCAAGCUUGCUUGGGUACUCGAGUGGCGAACGGGUGAGUAACACGUGGGUGAUCUGCCCUGCACUUCGGGAUAAGCCUGGGAAACUGGGUCUAAUACCGGAUAGGACCACAUUUUGGAUGGUGUGGUGGAAAGUUUUUCGGUGUGGGGUGAGCUCGCGGCCUAUCAGCUUGUUGGUGGGGUAAUGGCCUACCAAGGCGUCGACGGGUAGCCGGCCUGGGAGGGUGUACGGCCACAUUGGGACUGAGAUACGGCCCAGACUCCUACGGGAGGCAGCAGUGGGGAAUAUUGCACAAUGGGCGCAAGCCUGAUGCAGCGACGCCGCGUGGGGGAUGACGGCCUUCGGGUUGUAAACUCCUUUCGCUAGGGACGAAGCGUUAUGUGACGGUACCUGGAGAAGAAGCACCGGCUAACUACGUG